RNAcentral lists this long non-coding RNA (1353 nucleotides) under Vulpes vulpes (red fox). RNAcentral's name for it is "lncRNA (ENSVVUG00000008398.1)". Lineage: Eukaryota; Metazoa; Chordata; Mammalia; Carnivora; Canidae. The record is from RNAcentral.
GGGGAGAGGGUGCGGGUGUCCUAGAUCUCUGACCUUCUUCGUCCAUCGCAGCCUGGCCCCUCUUUCUUCUGAUGCCUCCUCAGUGUGUCUCUGUGUCUCGUUCUCAGGGUCUCUCCCAGUCAGGCGCUCUCCACCUAUCUCUCUCUCUGGGUCUCUGCCUCUCUCUCCUUCUGCACCUGCUUUUCCAUGUCCAGCCACCUUCUACCCAUCAGAGCCCUCUCCCCUAAAUCCUCUUGUUAUUUACUCUCGUCCAUUCUCUCUCCAUCUUUUUCUCUCUCUAGAGCAUCCUUCUCUUUAUUAAGACCUUGCCCCCACCCCCCCAUUUCUAUCUUCCUUUCUCUCCCCCCUCCCCAGUCUCUGUCUCUUCCCAUCUGUCUCUCCUCCUCCUCUCUGGAUGACUCUGUCCCUGUCUCUUCUUUCCUUCUGUUAUCCCAUUCUGACCCCCCAUCCGCUCCCGUACCCCAUCCCCCAUCAGUCCCCCAGCCUCUGGGUUUCUCUCUUUGUGACUCUGUCUCUGUCCCCUUCCCUCUCUGGUUAUUUCUCUGUGUGUGUGUCUCUCUCCAACUUCCUUCUGCCACCAGCCGCUGCCUCCCCCAAAUUUCUCCCUCCCCCAUUUCUGUUUCACAGUCUCUGGGCUUCUCUUUUUCCACUUCUCCUUGUCUCUCCCUGUCUCUCUCCCUCCCUCUCUGGGUCUCUCUCUCUUUUUCCUCAGCUUCCUUCUGCCACCCAGACCCUGCCCCCCAAUCCUUUCCCUCCCCCCACCUCCUCUCCGUGGCUCCCCCAUCCUCAGCGUCUCCCCUCCCCCUCCUUCCCUCCUCCCUCCCUCUCCCGUCCUCCAGCUCCGCACUUUACCCAGCGACACGAGAACCAAAUUGUCUCCUCACCUUUUUUUUCCCAUCCCGACCCCCACUCCCUUGGGGCGCGAGCUCAGAGCUGCCCCUCAGCCCCCCUCCCACCUCAGCACCCUCAUUCCCCAUACGCCUCCUCAUCUCCACCCCCCAACCAGGUCGGACGCCUGGGUCCCUCGCUGCUGGGGGAGGGGGAGCAGUGAGAACUGGGAGCCACAAGGGUUUUCCUGGGGGGGUGCAGACAGGGGGGCUCAUCGUCCCCUCCCCAGUGCAUCGGAGAGUUGACCUAUCGUUAACAGAGCCGGCGACCAUGCGCACUCUGANCGCCCGGGCCGCGCCUCCUCCUCCUCCUCCUCCUCGCCGCCCCCCGCCCAGCCCGGCAGGCCCCGGGCCCCCACUUCUGCCUGCGCUGUGCCCCCCCCAGCCGCCGGCACGGCCCCGCCCCCGCUGCCCCGGUGGUGGCCCACGGCCCCCCGGCUGCCCGUGGUCAAGCUGGAGUCGCUGA